GGAUGUAAUGGUGAUCUGGCUGUGACAUUUGUCACUCUACUGAUUGUCAGGGUGGUUCAGCGGAUCUGGCUGGCUAGGUGGGUGACCCCUUCCUCCCUCACCACUGCAUGUGUGUCCCUCCCAAAGCUGUGUGCUCAAAGAGAACCAUUUCCUCAGUCAAGGGUAUACGAGUAGCUGUGCUCCCCUGCUAGAACCUCCAAACAGGCUCUCAAUUAUCAGCUGAGUGGCCUGGGUGCUUACUUUGCCUUUCCAUGCCUU
Non-coding RNA from Fukomys damarensis (Damara mole-rat), 258 nucleotides. NCBI's taxonomy places the organism in Eukaryota, Metazoa, Chordata, Mammalia, Rodentia, Bathyergidae. The record is from Rfam.